Molecule: ribosomal RNA, 496 nt
Filed under: uncultured bacterium
Lineage: Bacteria
Description: partial 16S ribosomal RNA
Rfam family: Bacterial small subunit ribosomal RNA
Source: RNAcentral
GAUGAACGCUGGCGGCGUGCCUAAUACAUGCAAGUCGAGCGAACAGACGAGGAGCUUGCUCCUCUGACGUUAGCGGCGGACGGGUGAGUAACACGUGGAUAACCUACCUAUAAGACUGGGAUAACUUCGGGAAACCGGAGCUAAUACCGGAUAAUAUAUUGAACCGCAUGGUUCAAUAGUGAAAGACGGUUUUGCUGUCACUUAUAGAUGGAUCCGCGCCGCAUUAGCUAGUUGGUAAGGUAACGGCUUACCAAGGCAACGAUGCGUAGCCGACCUGAGAGGGUGUUCGCCAAACCGGAACCUAGGACACGUUCAGACUCCUACGGGAGGCAGCAGUAGGGAAUCUUCCGCAAUGGGCGAAAGCCUGACGGAGCAACGCCGCGUGAGUGAUGAAGGUCUUCGGAUCGUAAAACUCUGUUAUUAGGGAAGAACAAAUGUGUAAGUAACUAUGCACGUCUUGACGGUACCUAAUCAGAAAGCCACGGCUAACUACGUG